GGUGGUUAUUUUUUGUUUGGCCUGGAGCUGCGUGUUUGGAUUUUAGUGGCAUAGUUGAUUUUUAGGGUUUGCUUAGCGUAAAAUUGUUAUAUUUGGUUAUUCAGAGUAUCAUUUGCCUGGAGCUGUGUGUUAGGCUUUUAGAGUGGUACAGAAGUUGAUUUUCAGGUUUUGCUAAGCGGAGAAUUGUUAGUUUCUUAAUGGCAUAGAGGUUGAUUUUCAGGUUUUGCUAAGCGGAGUAUUGUUAGUUUCUUAAUGGCAUAGAAGUUAAUUUUCAGGUUUUGCUAAAGGUAGAAUUGUUUUAUUUGGUUAUUCAGAGUAUCAUUUGCCUGGAGCUGUGCGUUAGGUUUUUAGAAUGGUACAGAAGUUGAUUUUCAGGUUUUGCUAAGCGGAGUAUUGUUAGUUUCUUAAUGGCAUAGAAGUUAAUUUUCAGGUUUUGCUAAAGGUAGAAUUGUUUUAUUUGGUUAUUCAGAGUAUCAUUUGCCUGGAGCUGUGCGUUAGGUUUUUAGAAUGGUACAGAAGUUGAUUUUCAGGGUUUGCUAAGCGGAGAAUUGUUUUAUUUAGUCAUUCAGAGUAUCAUUAGCUGGGCCUGGAACUGUUUGUGAGGUUUUUAGUGGCAUCAUCAUUAAGAUCGCCGGAGCGAGACUGUAUGUACCGUACCGCCGCCGGAAGUGUGGUGGUGGUGAUGGUGAUGGUGAUGGUGGUGAUGGUGGUGGCGGUGGUGGUGGCGGUGUCGAUGCUACCAGGUUAAUACGAUACAAAUUAGAGCUUUUAUUCCUGUGUUCGAAACUUAAUAACCGUGAAUUAUGAGCUUUUCAGUCGUUCUCACCUCCCCGUUGUCUA
Long non-coding RNA from Eriocheir sinensis (Chinese mitten crab), 840 nucleotides. RefSeq lists it as uncharacterized. The record is from RefSeq and is a predicted model, not a curated record. The transcript is spliced from 3 exons. Lineage: Eukaryota; Metazoa; Arthropoda; Malacostraca; Decapoda; Varunidae.